RNAcentral lists this ribosomal RNA (647 nucleotides) under uncultured bacterium. RNAcentral's name for it is "bacterial SSU rRNA". It matches the Rfam family "Bacterial small subunit ribosomal RNA", at positions 800 to 1445 of the family's 1533-position model. The record is from RNAcentral.
CNGUAAACGAUGGGUACUAGGUGUAGGAGGUAUCGACCCNUUCUGUGCCGGAGUUAACGCAAUAAGUACCCCGCCUGGGGAGUACGACCGCAAGGUUGAAACUCAAAGGAAUUGACGGGGGCCCGCACAAGCGGUGGAGUAUGUGGUUUAAUUCGACGCAACGCGAAGAACCUUACCAGGUCUUGACAUUGAUGGACAGAACUAGAGAUAGUUCCUCUUNUUCGGAAGCCAGAAAACAGGUGGUGCACGGUUGUCGUCAGCUCGUGUCGUGAGAUGUUGGGUUAAGUCCCGCAACGAGCGCAACCCCUAUCUUAUGUUGCCAGCACUUUGGGUGGGAACUCAUGAGAGACUGCCGCAGACAAUGCGGAGGAAGGCGGGGAUGACGUCAAAUCAUCAUGCCCCUUAUGACCUGGGCUACACACGUACUACAAUGGGAGUUAAUAGACGGAAGCGAGAUCGCGAGAUGGAGCAAACCCGAGAAACACUCUCUCAGUUCGGAUCGUAGGCUGCAACUCGCCUACGUGAAGUCGGAAUCGCUAGUAAUCGCAGGUCAGCAUACUGCGGUGAAUACGUUCCCGGGCCUUGUACACACCGCCCGUCACACCACGAAAGUCGGAAGUGCCCAAAGCCGGUGGGGUAACNUUCGG